Molecule: ribosomal RNA, 560 nt
Filed under: Alcanivorax sp.
Lineage: Bacteria; Pseudomonadati; Pseudomonadota; Gammaproteobacteria; Oceanospirillales; Alcanivoracaceae
Description: bacterial SSU rRNA
Rfam family: Bacterial small subunit ribosomal RNA
Source: RNAcentral
CCGUAAACGAUGUCGACCUGGAGGUUGUGCCCUUGAGGCGUGGCUUCCGGAGCUAACGCGUUAAGUCGACCGCCUGGGGAGUACGGCCGCAAGGUUAAAACUCAAAUGAAUUGACGGGGGCCCGCACAAGCGGUGGAGCAUGUGGUUUAAUUCGAUGCAACGCGAAGAACCUUACCUGGUCUUGACAUCCACGGAAGUUUUCAGAGAUGAGAAUGUGCCUUCGGGAACCGUGAGACAGGUGCUGCAUGGCUGUCGUCAGCUCGUGUUGUGAAAUGUUGGGUUAAGUCCCGCAACGAGCGCAACCCUUAUCCUUUGUUGCCAGCGGUCCGGCCGGGAACUCAAAGGAGACUGCCAGUGAUAAACUGGAGGAAGGUGGGGAUGACGUCAAGUCAUCAUGGCCCUUACGACCAGGGCUACACACGUGCUACAAUGGCGCAUACAAAGAGAAGCGACCUCGCGAGAGCAAGCGGACCUCAUAAAGUGCGUCGUAGUCCGGAUUGGAGUCUGCAACUCGACUCCAUGAAGUCGGAAUCGCUAGUAAUCGUGGAUCAGAAUGCCAC